AAAAACUUCAAAUACCCCUCGUGGUUUCGCACUUUCUCACUUUAAUAUCUUAUAGUUUAAAGUGUAUCAAGUUAGUACCCUACAGUUUUCCACUUUCUCACUUUAGUAUCUUGUGGUUUAAAAUGUAUUAAGUUAAUUAGUACCCUGUGGUUUCGCACUUUCUCACUUUAGUACCAUGUGGUUUAAUAUUUCAUUAAAUUAUAUACAAAAAAAACUUCAGAUAUCCUACCUAGGUUUAUCGAAUAUUCAUUAUAGUACUCUUUAGUUUUAACUUUGUCACUGAUUUAACGAAAAAAAUACUCCGAAAUGAAUAUUAAAAAGAGAAAUAUAAAAUCACAGAGUACUAACUCGAUACAAAAAUAAAAUCACAGAGUACUAACUUGAUACAUUUUACACCAUAUGGUACUAAAAUGAAAAAGUGCGAAACCACAGGGUACCAACUUAAUACAUUUUAAACCACAGGGUACGUACUAAAGUGAUAAAUUGCGAAAUCAC
RNAcentral lists this long non-coding RNA (495 nucleotides) under Ananas comosus (pineapple). Its description in RNAcentral is "long non-coding RNA (ACOM_LNC017337)". Lineage: Eukaryota; Viridiplantae; Streptophyta; Magnoliopsida; Poales; Bromeliaceae. The record is from RNAcentral.